GACGAACGCUGGCGGCGUGCCUAAUACAUGCAAGUUGAGCGCUGAAGGUUGGUACUUGUACCAACUGGAUGAGCAGCGAACGGGUGAGUAACGCGUGGGGAAUCUGCCUUUGAGCGGGGGACAACAUUUGGAAACGAAUGCUAAUACCGCAUAAAAACUUUAAACACAAGUUUUAAGUUUGAAAGAUGCAAUUGCAUCACUCAAAGAUGAUCCCGCGUUGUAUUAGCUAGUUGGUGAGGUAAAGGCUCACCAAGGCGAUGAUACAUAGCCGACCUGAGAGGGUGAUCGGCCACAUUGGGACUGAGACACGGCCCAAACUCCUACGGGAGGCAGCAGUAGGGAAUCUUCGGCAAAGGACGAAAGUCUGACCGAGCAACGCCGCGUGAGUGAAGAAGGUUUUCGGAUCGUAAAACUCUGUUGGUAGAGAAGAACGUUGGCGAGAGUGGAAAGCUCAUCAAGUGACGGUAACUACCCAGAAAGGGACGGCUAACUACGU
This 496-nucleotide ribosomal RNA is filed under the name uncultured bacterium. RNAcentral's name for it is "partial 16S ribosomal RNA". It matches the Rfam family "Bacterial small subunit ribosomal RNA", at positions 28 to 506 of the family's 1533-position model. The record is from RNAcentral.